RNAcentral lists this ribosomal RNA (404 nucleotides) under Actinomycetes bacterium. RNAcentral describes it as "Actinobacteria bacterium partial 16S ribosomal RNA". It matches the Rfam family "Bacterial small subunit ribosomal RNA", at positions 355 to 776 of the family's 1533-position model. The record is from RNAcentral. Lineage: Bacteria; Bacillati; Actinomycetota; Actinomycetes.
UGGGGAAUAUUGGACAAUGGGCGCAAGCCUGAUCCAGCCAUGCCGCGUGAGUGAUGAAGGCCCUAGGGUUGUAAAGCUCUUUCACCGGUGAAGAUAAUGACGGUAACCGGAGAAGAAGCCCCGGCUAACUUCGUGCCAGCAGCCGCGGUAAUACGAAGGGGGCUAGCGUUGUUCGGAUUUACUGGGCGUAAAGCGCACGUAGGCGUACUAUUAAGUCAGGGGUGAAAUCCCGGGGCUUAACCCCGGAACUGCCUUUGAUACUGGUAGUCUUGAGUUCGAGAGACGUGAGUGGAAUUCCGGGUGUAGAGGUGAAAUUCGUAGAUAUUCGGAGGAACACCAGUGGCGAAGGCGGCUCACUGGCUCGAUACUGACGCUGAGGUGCGAAAGCGUGGGGAGCAAACAGG